AACGAACGCUGGCGGCAUGCCUAACACAUGCAAGUCGAACGAGACCUUCGGGUCUAGUGGCGCACGGGUGCGUAACGCGGGGGAACCUGCCCUUAGGUUCGGAAGAACUCCCCGAAAGGGGUGCUAAUACCGGAUAAUGUCUUCGGACCAAAGAUUUAUCGCCUUUGGAUGGGCCCGCGUUGGAUUAGCUAGUUGGUAGGGUAAAAGCCUACCAAGGCGACGAUCCAUAGCUGGUCUGAGAGGAUGAUCAGCCACACUGGGACUGAGACACGGCCCAGACUCCUACGGGAGGCAGCAGUGGGGAAUAUUGGACAAUGGGCGAAAGCCUGAUGCAGCAAUGCCGCGUGAGUGAUGAAGGCCUUAGGGUUGUAAAGCUAUUUUACCCGGGAUGAUAAUGACAGUACCGGGAGAAUAAGCUCCGGCUAACUCCGUG
RNAcentral lists this ribosomal RNA (433 nucleotides) under uncultured bacterium. RNAcentral's name for it is "partial 16S ribosomal RNA". It matches the Rfam family "Bacterial small subunit ribosomal RNA", at positions 29 to 507 of the family's 1533-position model. The record is from RNAcentral.